RNAcentral lists this ribosomal RNA (876 nucleotides) under Alkalibacterium pelagium. Its description in RNAcentral is "bacterial SSU rRNA". It matches the Rfam family "Bacterial small subunit ribosomal RNA", at positions 61 to 917 of the family's 1533-position model. The record is from RNAcentral. Lineage: Bacteria; Bacillati; Bacillota; Bacilli; Lactobacillales; Carnobacteriaceae.
GUCGAACGCUGAAGCACUCUGCUUGCAGAGUGUGGAUGAGUGGCGAACGGGUGAGUAACACGUGGGGAACCUGCCCAUAAGAGGGGGAUAACAUCCGGAAACGGGUGCUAAUACCGCAUAGGUGAUCAUAGCGCAUGCUUAGAUCAUUAAAGAUGGCUUCGGCUAUCGCUUAUGGAUGGCCCCGCGGCGUAUUAGCUAGUUGGUGAGGUAAUGGCUCACCAAGGCUGUGAUACGUAGCCGACCUGAGAGGGUGAUCGGCCACACUGGAACUGAGACACGGUCCAGACUCCUACGGGAGGCAGCAGUAGGGAAUCUUCCACAAUGGGCGAAAGCCUGAUGGAGCAAUACCGCGUGAGUGAAGAAGGUCUUCGGAUCGUAAAGCUCUGUUGUUAGAGAAGAACAAGAGGUGUAGUAACUGGCACCUCCUUGACGGUAUCUAACCAGAAAGUCACGGCUAACUACGUGCCAGCAGCCGCGGUAAUACGUAGGUGACAAGCGUUGUCCGGAUUUAUUGGGCGUAAAGCGAGCGCAGGCGGUCUUUUAAGUCUGAUGUGAAAGCCCACGGCUCAACCGUGGAGGGUCAUUGGAAACUGGAAGACUUGAAUGCAGAAGAGGAAAGUGGAAUUCCAUGUGUAGCGGUGAAAUGCGUAGAUAUAUGGAGGAACACCAGUGGCGAAGGCGACUUUCUGGUCUGUAAUUGACGCUGAGGCUCGAAAGCGUGGGGAGCGAACAGGAUUAGAUACCCUGGUAGUCCACGCCGUAAACGAUGAGUGCUAAGUGUUGGAGGGUUUCCGCCCUUCAGUGCUGGAGCUAACGCAUUAAGCACUCCGCCUGGGGAGUACGGCCGCAAGGCUGAAACUCAAAGGAAUUGACGGG